This is a long non-coding RNA of Clupea harengus (Atlantic herring), 1186 nucleotides long. The record is from Ensembl. Lineage: Eukaryota; Metazoa; Chordata; Actinopteri; Clupeiformes; Clupeidae.
AACGUCCAAAAGAAAACCCCUGCAUGAUAACAGAAACCUAAAUAAUUAAUGUUGCGAGAAGACUAGCAUCUCAGUCUGCCUGUAUACAUGGAAUUAGCUAUUAGCCUGUUAAUGAUUAACCUCAAACCCGACUAACAUUAACUUUAGUAUCCACGUUAGCCACACACACACACACACACACACACACACCAAUCCUCAUAUAGAACUAUAAUUAUACACUUUACAUAAGAAUAAUCUGUCACCCCAGAGGGCCCCACGAGCACACUCUUGAUAAUGGAGCAAGGUAAGUAGGGAGUUAGCCAGCAACGAGAAGCAGUUAGCGGUUAUUAGAGAUACCUCAUGACCUCGUGACCUCUAUUCAAGGCAAAACAUGCUGAGACUAGACAACCCUCCUAUUUGGUCAAACAGCAGCACUCUCACUCUCCAGAGCUGCCUUCCACCCACCUCAACAAAUAAACAACAAACAAACAAACAAAAACAAACAAACAAACAAAAAGAAACAAACAAACAAAAAAACAAACAAAAAUACAAAAAAGAAAGAAACAAAAAACAAACAAAAAAAGAAACAAAAAACAAACAAAGAAACAAACAAACAAAAACAAACAAAAAAAGAAAGAAACAAACACCAGAGGUCCAGUGAGCUGGGGGUUCUGUCUCUGUAUCCAGUGUAUUGUGGUGCACCUGUGAUGCCUUGACAUCCUCCGAAUGAGACCAGUACCAUGUGUCUGUCUGGCCCUGCAGCCGCGCGGGUUAGCAUGUUAGCAUGUGGGUGUGUGAGCGUGUGGGUGUGUAGGCAUGUUGUUGUGUGGGUGAGGAGGUGAGGACGUGAGGAAGCCUCCCCUCUGUGCAGUGGAGAUUUCUGGGAGAGGGGGGACACAGCGUCUCUUUGUGCUUGUGUGUGUGUGUGUGUGUGUGUGUGUGUGUGUUUGUGUGUGUGUGUGUGUGUGUGUGUGUGUGUGUGUGUGUGUCUUCCCAGCACUCAAAUAGAGAGCAGCAGCAGCUCAAUUACAGGCCUGGCCUCCGCCCCGCUCCACUCCACCCCACCCCCAGCCGUGAGGAACACAGUCCAGGCCUCUAGACCCCAGCCGUGAGGAACACACAGGAACACACAGGAACACAGAGGAACCCUGUCCUUAUGAUAUGACCCUACGACCCUGUCCUUAUGAUAUGACCCUACGACCCUGUC